Paralichthys olivaceus (Japanese flounder) is the source of this 333-nucleotide long non-coding RNA. RefSeq lists it as uncharacterized. The record is from RefSeq and is a predicted model, not a curated record. Lineage: Eukaryota; Metazoa; Chordata; Actinopteri; Pleuronectiformes; Paralichthyidae.
CAGCGUCUAAUCAAUAGUCUUUUUGAGCACGACUGUUUGGCUGUUAACAUUGGUUUUAGAUGGUAGUUGGAGGAGAGUGAUGGAACGAGGGAGGAAAUGGAGACAGGAGGAGGCAAGGUGCGUCCAGCGGCAGCACAUGGCGAGAGGUUGGACUGUGCACUCCCUCCCUAACCCACUGACACAAUGGGGCUCUGUGUGGCGAACCUGAGGAAUGCUGAAAGAUGGCAGGACUCUGGAGAAGAGAGGAUGGAGCUGUGGAGACAGUGUACAUCAGCUCUCUAAAAGAAAAAUGGAGCAACAGUGAAUUGUACAUUUUUGCAAUCAGCAAAGGUC